This 164-nucleotide ribosomal RNA is filed under the name uncultured bacterium. Its description in RNAcentral is "partial 16S rRNA". It matches the Rfam family "Bacterial small subunit ribosomal RNA", at positions 355 to 511 of the family's 1533-position model. The record is from RNAcentral.
UAGGGAAUCUUCCACAAUGGGCGCAAGCCUGAUGGAGCAACACCGCGUGAGUGAAGAAGGGUUUCGGCUCGUAAAGCUCUGUUGUUAAAGAAGAACACGUAUGAGAGUAACUGUUCAUACGUUGACGGUAUUUAACCAGAAAGUCACGGCUAACUACAUGCUAG